Molecule: long non-coding RNA, 769 nt
Filed under: Oryza sativa (Asian cultivated rice)
Lineage: Eukaryota; Viridiplantae; Streptophyta; Magnoliopsida; Poales; Poaceae
Description: long non-coding RNA (OSAT_LNC000429)
Source: RNAcentral
UCCUCCCAUCCUCCUCAGCAUGUGGCAGCAUCCCCCUUCCCCUUCCCCAGGUUGUUGUUUUCUCCUCAAUCCAAGGCAAUGAUGGGGGCUCGAGCAAAGAUGACGGCGGCAAUGGUUUGGUUGGUGUGAUAACGACUCCCACUCCCCCUCGCCCUCUUUGUUUCUCGGGCGUCGAUGCAUCGAUGGCGUCACCUCCAACUCAGGGGUCGUUGGAUGUGCCCCCCCCCUCCAACAGCGAUGGUGAUGGCGGUCCGACUACGGCGAGCAGUGGCCCUCCCUUUGACCCUGCCUCCCUGUGAGCAAUGACUAGCAGGUAGGUAUCCCUCCUCUCCUUCCCCAUCCAUCCCUCCCAAAAAAAAAAUCCCCUCACUAUGUAUUCUGGAUUUGACAGUGGUGGUGAGCGGUAAUGCCUUGGCCUCCAAUAAACAGCGGCGGUGGCGGCAGUGGUUUUUGUGAGAAUUUGUUAUUUGGUUUCUUCUUAUUGGAUCUGUGAGAAUUUUUAUUCAGCUUUUGUCCCUGUUGUUCUUGGCCUGAAGCAUUGAGUACCCGAAGCAUCAACUCGAUUUGAGCCGAUGCGAGCCUCUUUUUUUUUUAUUCCUAUAACCAUCAAAGGUACUGAUUCUUAAACCCGUACCUUUAAUUGUUCACAUCGGUAUUGUCUAGAGGAUGCGGGUAGGAAAUCCGGUGCUUAUGGACUGUUCCCAACCGGUACCAAUAAGAUUUUUUUAAAGCAGUGCUGGGAACCAUAUUGGUCCAGGUUUGUCUGCAU